GUCGAGAAUAUUCCACAAUGGACGAAAGUCUGAUGGAGCGAUGCCGCGUGCAGGAUGAAGGUAUUCGUAUUGUAAACUGCUUUUGUACGGGAAGAAUUUCGAUGACGGUACCGUGCGAAUAAGAGGUUACUAACUCUGUGCCAGCAGUAGCGGUAAUACAGAGACCUCAAGCGUUAUCCGGAUUUAUUGGGCGUAAAGGGCGGGUAGGUGGUUAUAUUAGUCAGAUGUCAAAUCUUCGAGCUCAACUCGAAAACUGCAUUUGAAACGGUAUAACUAGAGGGUGUGAGAGACCACUGGAACUCAUGGUGUAGCAGUGAAAUGCGUUGAUAUCAUGAGGAACACCAAAGGCGAAGGCAUGUGGUUGGCACACUCCUGACACUGAGCCGCGAAAGCGUGGGUAGCGAAUGGGAUUAGAAACCCUAGUAGUCC
This 429-nucleotide ribosomal RNA is filed under the name uncultured bacterium. Its description in RNAcentral is "partial 16S ribosomal RNA". It matches the Rfam family "Bacterial small subunit ribosomal RNA", at positions 354 to 796 of the family's 1533-position model. The record is from RNAcentral.